UCCAACAGAUGCUGGAAGUCAUGAUCAACACACACAAACUGCCGGAGGAACUUAGAAUCAGGUUUAAUUUGACUGCAUAUGUCAUGGAAUCUGUUGUCUUUGUGGUAGCAGGACAAUGCAAUACAUAAUAGAGACUAUAGUAAGCAUAUAUGUAAUAGUUAAAUUAAGUAAGUAGUGAAAAAAAAUGGUAUUCUAGUGUUCAUGGUUUCAAUGUCCAUUCAGAAAUCGGACAGCAGAGAGGAAGAAGCUGUUCCUGAAUCGCUGAGUGUGUGUCUUCAGGUUCCUGUACCUCCUCCCUGAUGGCAGAGGGGAAGAAGCUGUUCCUGAAUUGCUGAGUGUGUGUCUUCAGGUUCCUGUACCUCCUUCCUGAUGGUAGCAAUGAGAACAAGGCAUGACAUGGUGAUGGGGUCUUUAAUGAUGGACGCCGUCUUUUUGAGGCACUGCUGCUGGAAGUUGUCCUUGAUACUGGGGAGAUGCUACCUGACCUGCUGAGUUCCUCCAGCACUUCAUAAUGUGUUGCUGAUGUCAUGGAGUGCACUACCUCAUGAAGACAGAUACAACACAGAAUAGGCCUUUCUGGCCCUUCGAGCUAUGUCGCCAGCAAUCCCUCGAUUUAACCAGAGCCUAUUCACAGGACAACUUACACUGACUAAUGAACCUACCAACCAUAAGGUUGUUAGACCAUGGGAUGAAACUGCGGAGGAAACCCACGAGGUCAUGGGAAAAUCAUCAGAACCUUCCGAAGAGGAACGCAGACCUGGAAAGCAUAUUCCUAUGCUGCCUCCCCAGCAUCCACCAGAACAUCUUCAAGGAGCGAUGCUUCAAAAUGGGGGCAUUCAUCAUUAAGGACCUCAUCACCUAGGACAUGCCCUCUUCUCAUUGCUACCGUCAGGAAGGAGGUACAGGAGCCCGAAGUCACACACUCAACAAUUCAGGAACAGAUUCUUCCCCUCUGCCAUCCAAUUUCUGAAUGGACAUUGAACUCUUGGACGCUACCCCACUACUUAUUUUUCUCUUUUUGCACUAUUGUAUCACUAAGCAAACAAUAAAGAAAGGGAAGCUCGAUAAUGAAAAUAAACUAGCACAAAAUAUAAAAAUGGAUAGUGAAAGUUUUUGUAAUUAUAUAAAGUGGAAAAGGGUGGCUAAAGUGAAUGCAGGUCCCUUGGAGGAUGAGAAGGGGGAAUUGAUAUUGGGUAAUGAAAAGAUGGUCAGGGCUUUGAAUGACUAUUUUGUGUCGGUCUUCACAGUGCAGGAUACUAACUAACAUGACAAAGAGAGAUGUUAUGGAUGUGAUGGGAGGUGAGGACCUCGAUAUAAUAGCUAUCACUAAAGAGGUAGUGCUGAGCAAACUUGUGGGCCUGAAGAUAGAUAAGUCCCCUAGUCCUGAUGGAAUACAUCCCAGGGUGCUGAAGGAAAUGGCAGAGGUUAUAGUCAAGGCUUUGGUGAUGAUUUACCAAAAUUCUCUAGACUCUGGGUAGGUCCUAGAGGAUUGGAAGACGGUGAAUGUCACACCACUGUUCAAAAAAGGAUGUAGGCAAAGGGUAGGUAACUACAGGCCAGUUUAACAUCUGUAGUUGGGAGAAUGCCUGAAGCUAUCAUUGAAGAAAAAAAUAGCAAGGCAUCUGGAAAGAAAUGGCUCCAUCAGGCAGAUGCAGCAUGUAUAGAGGAUUAGUUAACUAAUAGAAAGUAGAGUGUUGUGAUACAUGGGUGUUACUCUGGUUGGCAAUCAGUGGUGAGCAGUGUGCUACAGGGGUCGGUGAUGGGCCCACAAAUGUUCAUGAUAUACAUUAACGAUCUGGAAGAGGGGACUGAGUGUAGUGUAUCUAAGUUUGCUGAUGAUACUAAAUUGAGGGGGAAAGCAUAUGGAGAGUCUACAGAGAGAUAUAGAUAAGUUAAGUGAGUGGGCAAGAGUCUGGCAGGUGGAGUACAAUGUUGGUAAAUUCGAGGUCAUCCACUUUGGAAGGAAAAUUGAAAGAGCAGAUUAUUAUUUAAAUAAUAAAAAUUGCAGCAUGCUGCAGUGCAGGACUUGGGAGUGCUUAAGCAUGAAUCACAAAAGGUUGGUUUGCAGGUACAGCAGGCUAUCAAGAAGACAAAUGGAAUGUUGGCCUUCAAUGCUAGAGGGAUUGAAUUUAAGAGCAGGGAGGUCAUGCUGCAAUUGUACAGGAUGCUGGUGAGGCCGCAUCUGGAGUACCAAAUGCAGUUUUGGUCUCCUUACUUGAAAAAGGAUAUACUGGAAGCGAUGCAAAGGAGGUUCACCAGGUUGAUUCCAGAGUUGAGGGGUUAGACUAUGAGGAGAGAUUGAGUUGCCUGGGACUAUACUCGCUGGCAUUCAGAAGAAUGAGAAGAAAUCUUAUAGAAACAUAUAAAAUUAUGAAAGGGAUAGAUAACAUAGAGGCAGAAUAGUUGUUUCCAUUGGUAGGUGAGACUACAACUAGGGGACAUAGCCUCAAGAUUCGGGGGAGUAGAUUUAGGAUGGAAUUGAGGAGUAACUGCUUUUCCCAGAACCUGUGGAAUUCUCUGCCCAAUAAAGCAGUGGUGGCUUCAUAUAUAUAUUUUCUCAUCCCUUAUGGCUGGUGUGAAUGUGUAUUUUUCUCUCAAUCUCGGGUCCUCUACCAGAGGCCUGGGAGUUUGAGGGUUCAGCCAGUAUCCUUGCUGUUCCUAGUACUACGCUCUUCUGGUCCGAGAUCUCAGGUGUUGUUUCCGGGAUUUGUUGGAGCCUCUCUCCCAGUCCAGGUGUCACAGCUCCAAUUGCUCCCAUCACCACUGGGAUUACUCUGACUUUAACCUCCCACAUCCUUUCUAUCUGCUCUUUCAAGCCCCGGUAUUUCUCCAGCUUCCCAUAUUCUUUCUUCCUGAUGUUACUGUCAUUCGGGAUUUCUACAUCUAUUACUAUUCCUUUCUUCUGUUCUUUUUCCAGUAUUACCAUGUCUGGUUGGUUGGCCAGUACCUACUUAUCAGUCUGUAUUUGAAGUCCCACAGGAUCUUAGCUCUUUUAUACACAUUUAUACACUUCUUCCUGUGAUUUAGUUACUAUUAUCAUGUAUGGCAUUGUACUGCUGCUGCAAAGACAACAGAUUUCACCACACCGGUGAUAUUAAACCUGAUUCAGAUUCUG
This is a long non-coding RNA of Hypanus sabinus (Atlantic stingray), 3115 nucleotides long. RefSeq lists it as uncharacterized. The transcript has 5 exons. NCBI's taxonomy places the organism in Eukaryota, Metazoa, Chordata, Chondrichthyes, Myliobatiformes, Dasyatidae. The record is from RefSeq and is a predicted model, not a curated record.